Molecule: ribosomal RNA, 523 nt
Filed under: uncultured bacterium
Lineage: Bacteria
Description: bacterial SSU rRNA
Rfam family: Bacterial small subunit ribosomal RNA
Source: RNAcentral
UUAGGACGAACGCUGGCGGCGUGCCUAAUACAUGCAAGUCGAACGGUCUUUCUAUGGAAGCUUGCUUCCACUGAGAAGAUAGUGGCGAACGGGUGAGUAACACGUGGGUAACCUGCCCAUAAGAGGGGGGAUAACAUCCGGAAACGGGUGCUAAUACCGCAUAGUUUUCUUGAUUGCAUGAUUGAGAAAGGAAAGACGGCCUUUGUGCUGUCGCUUAUGGAUGGACCCGCGGCGUAUUAGUUAGUUGGUGAGGUAACGGCUCACCAAGACGAUGAUACGUAGCCGACCUGAGAGGGUGAUCGGCCACAUUAGGACUGAGACACGGCCCAAACUCCUACGGGAGGCAGCAGUAGGGAAUCUUCCGCAAUGGACGAAAGUCUGACGGAGCAACGCCGCGUGAGUGAAGAAAAGGUUUUCGGAUCGUAAAACUCUGUUGUCAGAGAAGAACAAGUUGGAGAGUAACUGCUCCAGCCUUGACGGUAUCUGACCAGAAAGCCACGGCUAACUACGUGCCAGCCGCUGC